Molecule: ribosomal RNA, 253 nt
Filed under: uncultured bacterium
Lineage: Bacteria
Description: partial 16S ribosomal RNA
Rfam family: Bacterial small subunit ribosomal RNA
Source: RNAcentral
UACAGAGGUCUCAAGCGUUGUUCGGAUUUAUUGGGCGUAAAGGGCGCGUAGGUGGCGCCGUAAGUCGGGUGUGAAAUUUCGGAGCUUAACUCCGAAACUGCAUUCGAUACUGCGGUGCUUGAGGACUGGAGAGGAGACUGGAAUUCAUGGUGUAGCAGUGAAAUGCGUAGAGAUCAUGAGGAAGACCAGUGGCGAAGGCGGGUCUCUGGACAGUUCCUGACACUGAGGCACGAAGGCCAGGGGAGCAAACGGG